GUAGGGUGCGAGCGUUAAUCGGAAUUACUGGGGCGUAAAGCGUGCGCAGGCGGCUUUGCAAGACAGAUGUGAAAUCCCCCGGGGGCUCAACCUGGGGAACUGCAUUUGUGACUGCAAGGCUAGAGUACGGCAGAGGGGGAUGGAAUUCCGCGUGUAGCAGUGAAAUGCGUAGAUAUGCGGAGGAACACCGAUGGCGAAGGCAAUCCCCUGGGCCUGUACUGACGCUCAUGCACGAAAGCGUGGGGAGCAAACAGGAUUAGAUACCCUGGUAGUCCACGCCCUAAACGAUGUCAACUGGUUGUUGGACGGCUUGCUGUUCAGUAACGAAGCUAACGCGUGAAGUUGACCGCCUGGGGAGUACGGCCGCAAGGUUG
RNAcentral lists this ribosomal RNA (374 nucleotides) under uncultured organism. RNAcentral describes it as "partial 16S ribosomal RNA". It matches the Rfam family "Bacterial small subunit ribosomal RNA", at positions 527 to 896 of the family's 1533-position model. The record is from RNAcentral.